GUUUCAGCAGCCGCGGUAAUGCGUAGGGUGCAAGCGUUAAUCGGAAUUACUGAGCGUAAAGCGUGCGCAGGCGGUUAUGCAAGACAGAGGUGAAAUCCCCGGGCUCAACCUGGGAACUGCCUUUGUGACUGCAUGGCUAGAGUACGGUAGAGGGGGAUGGAAUUCCGCGUGUAGCAGUGAAAUGCGUAGAUAUGCGGAGGAACACCGAUGGCGAAGGCAAUCCCCUGGACCUGUACUGACGCUCAUGCACGAAAGCGUGGGAAGCAAACAGGAUUAGAUACCCUGGUAGUCCACGCCCUAAACGAUGUCAACUGGUUGUUGGGAGGGUUUCUUCUCAGUAACGUAGCUAACGCGUGAAGUUGACCGCCUGGGGAGUACGGCCGCAAGGUUGAAACUCAAAGGAAUUGACGGGGACCCGCACAAGCGGUGGAUGAUGUGGUUUAAUUCGAUGCAACGCGAAAAACCUUACCUACCCUUGACAUGCCAGGAAUCCUGAAGAGAUUUGGGAGUGCUCGAAAGAGAGCCUGGACACAGGUGCUGCAUGGCCGUCGUCAGCUCGUGUCGUGAGAUGUUGGGUUAAGUCCCGCAACGAGCGCAACCCUUGUCAUUAGUUGCUACGAAAGGGCACUCUAAUGAGACUGCCGGUGACAAACCGGAGGAAGGUGGGGAUGACGUCAGGUCAUCAUGGCCCUUAUGGGUAGGGCUACACACGUCAUACAAUGGCCGGGACAGAGGGCUGCCAACCCGCGAGGGGGAGCUAAUCCCAGAAACCCGGUCGUAGUCCGGAUCGUAGUCUGCAACUCGACUGCGUGAAGUCGGAAUCGCUAGUAAUCGCGGAUCAGCUUGCCGCGGUGAAUACGUUCCCGGGCCUUGUACACACCGCCCGUCAAAC
RNAcentral lists this ribosomal RNA (892 nucleotides) under uncultured bacterium. Its description in RNAcentral is "bacterial SSU rRNA". It matches the Rfam family "Bacterial small subunit ribosomal RNA", at positions 505 to 1402 of the family's 1533-position model. The record is from RNAcentral.